Molecule: ribosomal RNA, 305 nt
Filed under: uncultured bacterium
Lineage: Bacteria
Description: bacterial SSU rRNA
Rfam family: Bacterial small subunit ribosomal RNA
Source: RNAcentral
UGUCCUACGGGGGGCAGCAGUGGGGAAUAUUGCACAAUGGGGGAAACCCUGAUGCAGCGACGCCGCGUGAGUGAAGAAGUAUUUCGGUAUGUAAAGCUCUAUCAGCAGGAACGGGACAAGACGGUACCUGACUAAGAAGCCCCGGCUAACUACGUGCCAGCAGCCGCGGUAAUACGUAGGGGGCAAGCGUUAUCCGGAUUUACUGGGUGUAAAGGGAGCGUAGACGGCAUAGCAAGUCUGAAGUGAAAGCCCAAGGCUCAACCAUGGGACUGCUUUGGAAACUGUUAAGCUAGAGUGCUGGAGAG